RNAcentral lists this ribosomal RNA (392 nucleotides) under uncultured bacterium. Its description in RNAcentral is "partial 16S ribosomal RNA". It matches the Rfam family "Bacterial small subunit ribosomal RNA", at positions 523 to 918 of the family's 1533-position model. The record is from RNAcentral.
AUACGGAGGAUCCGAGCGUUAUCCGGAUUUAUUGGGUUUAAAGGGUGCGCAGGCGGCCAUUUAAGUCAGCGGUUAAAUCGUGGGGCUCAACCCCAUUCUGCCGUUGAUACUGGGAGGCUUGAUUGCGGUCGAGGUUGGCGGAAUUCGUUGUGUAGCGGUGAAAUGCAUAGAUAUGACGAAGAACACCGAUUGCGUAGGCAGCUGACCGGACCGCAAAUGACGCUCAUGCAGGAAAGUGCGGGGAUCGAACAGGAUUAGAUACCCUGGUAGUCCGCACAGUAAACGAUGAAUACUUGUUUUCGGCGAUAUAAUGUCGGAGGCAAAGCGAAAGCGAUAAGUAUUCCACCUGGGGAGUACGCCGGCAACGGUGAAACUCAAAGGAAUUGACGGGG